Molecule: ribosomal RNA, 162 nt
Filed under: uncultured bacterium
Lineage: Bacteria
Description: partial 16S ribosomal RNA
Rfam family: Bacterial small subunit ribosomal RNA
Source: RNAcentral
GACGCCGUGUGAGUGAUGAAGGCCUUCGGGUUGUAAAGCUCUGUGGGAGGGGACGAAAAGGUACUGGUCGAAUAGGUCGGACCCUUGACGGUACCCUCUUAGCAAGCACCGGCUAACUCUGUGCCAGCACCCUCGGUGCUGAGCGGGCUGGCAAGGCGCAUA